Molecule: ribosomal RNA, 170 nt
Filed under: uncultured bacterium
Lineage: Bacteria
Description: partial 16S ribosomal RNA
Rfam family: Bacterial small subunit ribosomal RNA
Source: RNAcentral
CCUACGGGAGGCAGCAGUGGGGAAUAUUGCACAAUGGGGGAAACCCUGAUGCAGCAACGCCGCGUGAGUGAAGAAGUAUUUCGGUAUGUAAAGCUCUAUCAGCAGGGAAGAAGAAAGACGGUACCUGACUAAGAAGCCCCGGCUAACUACGUGCCAGCAGCCGCGGUAAU